UCGCAGAAAUGUGAAGAAAUCAAUUAAAUCCAGCGCUGGUUUAAUUUGUUGCUUUGCGCCUCUGCGCAGUGGAUGGUCUGCGUGAUAGGACUCCAUCAGAGGUCAAACCCGCCUGUGCUAUUUGUGGAAAAGACGAAGGAAUAAUCCAUGGAGGAGCUUCUUAUCUAGCAGGGGGAAAAAAGCCGUGCAUCUCCUGCUGCUGAGCUGCCUGCACAUCUCUGUUCAGCUGCAGUGCCCUGAAGGAGGAAGGAAGGAGCACGAAAUCCCUGGGUCAGUGCAAAAAUUCCUCCCAGGAGAAUCAAGGCUGGGCCGUGCUGACACGCCGAUGCUCCUGGCUGUGCUGGAGUGCUGCAUCUCCACGAGGAGAAGACAUCUCCAAGGUAAGGCAGGCUUAUUGCUGAUUACAAGAUUACACGCGUCUGGAGGGCGCAAAUCUGUUCUCCAAACUUUCAAGGUGGUUUGUGCUGUGUCUGUGAGGUGCAAGAUUGCUCGCACAGUGAGUUUUUUGGAGCGCGGUUUUAUCUGACUGGCAUUAGGUAACCCUGCUUAAUCCAGAACUGGAAGCUUCAGAAAGUGAUUUUGCAAACCCAGAGACAUUUCAAGCUUAUGAGGCUUUUGACCUGCCUCAUUUAUGCUCGCCUCUUGCAUUGCGAAGGCUUAGAAAUGUGAAUAAUGUGAAAUACAGUGUGAAAUCUUUUGAGAUAUCUAAACCAUGUGCAUACACGUAGGAGCUUCCACCUUCCUUAAAACUUCAUCUCUCCUUCCUCAGCCCUGUGGCUGAUUAGUUUGUACUGCGGCAGAUAGGGGAGAAGGGAUAGGAGCUGGUGAGGGAUGUGGACUUGUGCUCCCCGCCUCGUUUCCCCUCCCUGUGGCAUCCUGUCCUGCUUUCUUUCCUCUUUGUGCUCCACCAGGAUCCGUGCACAAUGUCCUCAUUAAAUCCUGGCUCGGAGGUGGCGGUGGUGGGGAUGGUGGAAUGACCUCCAGCAGGCCGGGGGCCGCGUGGUUCUGAAGCGUAUGCAUUUUUUUGAUCCUUUCUUUUUCCUGUCCUAUUUUGCAAAGCUCAGAGCUGUCAGAAAACGUCCAUUAGGUUGAAAAUGUGCUAUUCCUUCCUAAAAGUAGACUCCCAGAGUCUACCUGCUCUUCAUAUGUGGUUGUGCACUCUUCCUGCUAUUCUUCCUAGACAACCCUUUGCUGCUGCAAGGUUGGAGCCUGUUGGCCAUGCUCAGUCUCCCUCCUGCUCUUUCUCCUGUGCUGCACAGUAAUUUCUAAUUUCAUGUGGCUUUUGCUCUUCUCAAAGAAAGAAGAAAGCCGAGCGUAUGCCAGGCACUGUUUGAGGCUUGCGGAGUGCUGGGUGGGCUGUGUGUCAUCUUUCCAAGGAUAUUGGUGCAAAAAAAAAAACACAACACACAACCACACGAAUCCUCAAAGCUUUUGAAAGUUGCAGGUGAUCAAAAAGAGUGUCCCUGGGGUUGCUGGCUGGUAGCAGCUGGGUGCUCUGGUCUGGUGCUGCUGUCCCACAGUGAGAUCUGGGGGCUGCAGGAGCCCCUUCCUGAUGCUGCUGCAGCUGAAAUGUGAGAAAGGAAGAGAGAAACAGCAAGGAAAGGCACAAGGAGGGGAAUGAAACAGAGGGGAUGGGCAAGGCAGCUUGAGCAAUCUUAAUGAUCCCAGGCUUUUCCAAUCAUUCAGCACUGCUGUGUAUUUGCCACCUAAUUUCUUCCCAAACUGAAAAUAAAGCGCUGUUUAAUAAACA
Molecule: long non-coding RNA, 1750 nt
Filed under: Anas platyrhynchos platyrhynchos (common mallard)
Lineage: Eukaryota; Metazoa; Chordata; Aves; Anseriformes; Anatidae
Description: lncRNA (ENSAPLG00000024595.1)
Source: RNAcentral